AAACAAAAGCCAAGUCAGAUCCCGAGCAGCUUGUUGGCUACGUGGAGUAGGGAGGAUUGGGCCUCCUGCCCACACCAGAGGGAGCCAACUCCUGCCUGGCGCUGUGAGGGUGACGAGCCCCUGGGCCUCUAGCUCCCUCUGAAGAUGGUGCCCACCCUUAGGCUGGCUCUGGGCUGACUCUGAUGGAAACGGGGUGAGGGCACCACAGAUCCAGGAGGGGAGGAGAGACCUGUCACCAUCCACAGACUCAGAGCACGCAUGAGAAAAACUGCAAGACCACCAUGCCUAGUCCCUGCCCAGCUGCUUCUCCAGAACUGUUUACUGCUCUGCGGAUCACAGAAGAGACAGGGAGCUGCGUCUCCUCACGCUGAAAGCUGUCAGUAACUUCUCGGCACCUACCUGUAUUCAUUCGGCCUUCCCCGGGGCCUGUCUGCCGGGUUGUCCGAAAUGCUGGCAGUUGUCUUCCAGGCACCUUCAAAAGCCAGCGCUUUAAGGAAGAUCACUGACGUGUAUGCCUUGGUAUGUGUGCGUUAGGGUGUUAUCUUCUCUUAAAAGUCACCCUUACCCCAGGGUCACACUGCUAGGAAACUGCAGAGCAGGAGAUUGAGCCCAGAUCAGCCCACUCCAUCCAGAACGGAAAAUCACCCACAUCUGCAUGUCAUUGAAGCCUCACUCUGCUCUGUGGAGGAGGACACUCAAGUUCAGCUCACAGGGAGAAAGCAGAAGCUAACCGUACCAUACCAACAGGCUGCCUUGGGCUGUCUGGAUUCCCCAGGCACACGCCUCCUCCAGGAAGUUUCCAGAGAUGCAGCCUACCUCCAUGUAGUUACCCCAUGACGGUCACCCACCCCCAAGACUGAUGCCCACAGCAAGAGAGGGAGGGUACCAACGUCCAUGUCCGGAAGGCUCUACCAGCUUCACCAGGAUUCCAAGUGGAGCCACCUGGGAAGGAACACCUGGCCCAGGUUUGGGAAUGGAGCAGCAGGUGGCUGCUAAGCCGCAGUAGUCCCCACAGAGCGGUACUGAAGAAGAAGGCUCCCACUGUCCAUCAGGGCCCUGGGCAGUUCUGUCCUCCAUUGUGUCCUGGUCUGUGACUCAGGUGCACACACCUGAAUAAUUGCUCCCAAUGCCCUCAGAGCUUGCCCAAAUCUAGUGUGUGAGCCCUGCCUGGGUGGCUGUUCACAGGCAGGUUCCCAGUUCCUCCCCAGCAGAUUCUGGGUCUGAGGACCCCAGAGCUCCAGUCUGACUUCAUGACAGGGCCCUGAGCUCCCAGUGCUCUAACCUGCCUGCCUAGGCUGGGGUCAGGCUGUGGUCUCAUCCGGGGUCAAAGGAAUCUCAGGUCACUGAACUUGGACAAGAAAAAAAGUUACCUCAUGUCACAGUUGCUGGUCAAAAUACGGGAUUUCCUUGUGCUGGGAACCGCAUGAAGACCUGUCACAGUGUAUUCCCAAUGACUACACAACCUUCAUGCCCUCCACUGUGUGACCACACACAGUUGGUGGGGCACUCGGGGUAGCUCUGCCUUGAAGGCUUCUGCACAGAUCUGUGAGGGUGGCUCUUCAAAAUCAUUAAAACUGCACUCUCAGAAGUAUCCACAGGGUGCUCCCAGCCACCUGGGAGGCCACGGCACCCCAGCAUCCUGAUCCCAGCAGGGCACCACACCGGGUGUGGAAACUGCUCCCUUUGACAAUCCUCCUGGGUAGCAGUAUGGGCAGAACUCUGGUCUCUCCUUGAAGUUGUG
Nannospalax galili (Upper Galilee mountains blind mole rat) is the source of this 1741-nucleotide long non-coding RNA. RefSeq lists it as uncharacterized. The transcript is spliced from 2 exons. The record is from RefSeq and is a predicted model, not a curated record. NCBI's taxonomy places the organism in Eukaryota, Metazoa, Chordata, Mammalia, Rodentia, Spalacidae.